This 206-nucleotide long non-coding RNA is filed under the name Mytilus galloprovincialis (Mediterranean mussel). The record is from RNAcentral. Lineage: Eukaryota; Metazoa; Mollusca; Bivalvia; Mytilida; Mytilidae.
GAUUUAACAAAUAUGGCUUCUCAUUAAAUGCCAUGUUUUGAAGCCGAAGUUGACCGAUUGUUACCUUAAAGUAAACAAAUAACAAAAAGCAUGGGUAUUUAGCAUGUGUUUAACAGGUACAAACAGAUAAUUGUUUAUUUUAAUGACAGAUCCAUACGUAUUCCUGUGAUCACCGAAUUUUUACGAGGAGGGUUACGCUCAGGUCA